UACGAAGGGGGCUAGCGUUGUUCGGAUUUACUGGGCGUAAAGCGCACGUAGGCGGACUUUUAAGUCAGGGGUGAACUCCCGGGGCUCAACCCCGGAACUGCCUUUGAUACUGGAAGUCUUGAGUAUGGUAGGGGUGAGUGGAAUUCCGAGUGUAGAGGUGAAAUUCGUAGAUAUUCGGAGGAACACCAGUGGCGAAGGCGGCUCACUGGACCAUUACUGACGCUGAGGUGCGAAAGCGUGGGGAGCAAACAGGAUUAGAUACCCCAGUAGUCC
This 273-nucleotide ribosomal RNA is filed under the name uncultured Brucellaceae bacterium. Its description in RNAcentral is "partial 16S ribosomal RNA". It matches the Rfam family "Bacterial small subunit ribosomal RNA", at positions 524 to 796 of the family's 1533-position model. Lineage: Bacteria; Pseudomonadati; Pseudomonadota; Alphaproteobacteria; Hyphomicrobiales; Brucellaceae. The record is from RNAcentral.